CAGUAGCCACGGUAAUACGAAGGGGGCUAGCGUUGCUCGGAAUGACUGGGCGUAAAGGGUGCGUAGGCGGUUUGGCAAGUCUUGUGUGAAAUCUUCGGGCUCAACCCGAAGCCUGCACGAGAAACUACCGGGCUUGAGUAUUGGAGAGGUGAGUGGAAUUCCGAGUGUAGAGGUGAAAUUCGUAGAUAUUCGGAAGAACACCAGUGGCGAAGGCGGCUCACUGGCUCAUACUGGACGCUAAGGUGCGAAAGCGUGGGGAGCAAACAGGAUUAGAUACCCCAGUAGUCCCUGUCUCUUAUAA
Molecule: ribosomal RNA, 301 nt
Filed under: uncultured bacterium
Lineage: Bacteria
Description: partial 16S ribosomal RNA
Rfam family: Bacterial small subunit ribosomal RNA
Source: RNAcentral